Molecule: transfer RNA, 471 nt
Filed under: Rhizobium sp. TUTAHSA45
Lineage: Bacteria; Pseudomonadati; Pseudomonadota; Alphaproteobacteria; Hyphomicrobiales; Rhizobiaceae
Description: partial 16S-23S ribosomal RNA intergenic spacer
Rfam family: tRNA (bases 224-297)
Source: RNAcentral
GAUCGGCUCAUGUCUUCGGAUAUGCCCCGAUAUGAACCUUCCCGUGCUUUUUAGAACAUAGAUGGCAUCAGUCAGGUGACCAUCGAAACGCAAUACGCCACGGAAAUGCUUUGGCAUUCGGAUGGUAUGGCGAGCCUCGCCGUCCACGUUUCUCUUUCUUCAAGAAGACAAAGAACCGCGUCGAUCCGGAUGGUUUUGCUGUCUGGACCGGUUUGACGAGAAUGGGCCCGUAGCUCAGUUGGUUAGAGCACACGCUUGAUAAGCGUGGGGUCGGAAGUUCAAGUCUUCCCGGGCCCACCAUGCUUUGCCGUUUGGGCUAUCGCAUGGCGAGCCGGGAAUGGACGGUGACGCGGAAGUUGCCGAACCCCGAAGAAGGUUGGGGCGAUCGAGCUGAUGGGGCUGUAGCUCAGCUGGGAGAGCACCUGCUUUGCAAGCAGGGGGUCAGCGGUUCGAUCCCGCUCAGCUCCACCA